RNAcentral lists this unclassified non-coding RNA (809 nucleotides) under Zea mays. RNAcentral describes it as "misc RNA Zm00001eb093660". Lineage: Eukaryota; Viridiplantae; Streptophyta; Magnoliopsida; Poales; Poaceae. The record is from RNAcentral.
UAUAAACUGUGUUGUUGUGCUGCCGUCCGUCCAAACAACUUGGUUGUGCCAUAUCGAUACAGCUCCAUCGCCGUUGCAGGGGCGGAAAGGGAAGAAAUGGCCGCACGCCGCCGGCGCCUCUCGGUGCUUGUCACCAUGCUCGCCGUCGCCGCGCCUGUAUGCCUGUACACCUCUGCCAUCCUCGUGAUCCUGGAGCUUGGCUGGGGAGACCCAGCAGACAGCAUCCUCAUCACCGGCAACUACCGCCUCGGCAGCGGCGUCGAGGGUGUCGCCAACAAACUUUGGGAGACGGCGAAACAGAGGGUGGCAUAUGUCGUGGUGGCUCGUCGAAGAUCGCACUCAGGCGGCGCUGAAGCUGCGCGAGUUCUGAUGGAAAGCCGGCGUCUUGGAAGCCGGCGGGGACGACCGGCGGCCAUUUCGGCCUCAUCACCACGCUGACGUCCCGCACGAGCCGUGUUGUGCGGCGGCUCGAUCCGGUGACUGGGACUGCGUGCGAGGCCCUGCUCUCCGAUCCUCCGGUACGGUUCCGGCUGCGAUCGAGCAAGAAGACUUUUGCAUGCCUUCCCAGAGACUUCCAGUGAUUAUUAUGUUGCGGUACGUUAGUUUACAGUUUAAUUACCUGAAGAACCUCUCGGUCGAUCCACGCUAUUACUAGCUUUGUUUGUGCCUUGAGAGUUCAAAGGCACAGUCCGGAGUCCCCGGUAAUUAACCGAUGUCACUGAUGAUCGGAUCGUUGCAUAAGAUGGGAGGGAUUGUAAAUAAGAGUCAAUCUGUUGUUUUAAAAGAGAGGAAUAUUAAGAAAAGAAAAA